Molecule: ribosomal RNA, 253 nt
Filed under: uncultured bacterium
Lineage: Bacteria
Description: partial 16S ribosomal RNA
Rfam family: Bacterial small subunit ribosomal RNA
Source: RNAcentral
UACGUAUGGGGCAAGCGUUAUCCGGAUUUACUGGGUGUAAAGGGAGCGUAGGCGGCCUGGCAAGCCUGAUGUGAAAUACCGGGGCCCAACCCCGGGGCUGCAUUGGGAACUGCCAGGCUGGAGUGCCGGAGGGGCAGGCGGAAUUCCUGGUGUAGCGGUGAAAUGCGUAGAUAUCAGGAGGAACACCGGUGGCGAAGGCGGCCUGCUGGACUGCAACUGACGUUGAGGCCCGAAAGCGUGGGGAGCAAACAGG